RNAcentral lists this ribosomal RNA (484 nucleotides) under uncultured bacterium. RNAcentral's name for it is "partial 16S ribosomal RNA". It matches the Rfam family "Bacterial small subunit ribosomal RNA", at positions 28 to 507 of the family's 1533-position model. The record is from RNAcentral.
AUUGAACGCUGGCGGCAUGCUUUACACAUGCAAGUCGAACGGCAGCGCGGGCUUCGUCCUGGCGGCGAGUGGCGAACGGGUGAGUAAUGCAUCGGAACGUGCCCAGUAGUGGUGGAUAGCCCGGAGAUAGCCGGAUUCAUACCGCAUACGACCUGAGGGUGAAAGCGGGGGACAGAAAGGCUUCGCGCUAUUGGUGCGGCCGAUGUCGGAUUAGCUAGUUGGUGGGGUAAAGGCUUACCAAGGCGACGAUCCGUAGCUGGUCUGAGAGGACGACCAGCCACACUGGGACUGAGACACGGCCCAGACUCCUACGGGAGGCAGCAGUGGGGAAUUUUGGACAAUGGGGGCAACCCUGAUCCAGCCAUGCCGCGUGCGGGAAGAAGGCCUUCGGGUUGUAAACCGCUUUUGUUCGGGAAGAAAUCCUCUGGGCUAAUACCCCGGGGGGAUGACGGUACCGGAAGAAUAAGCACCGGCUAACUACGUG